GACCGGCAAACGGGUGCGGAACACGUACACAACCUUCCUUCGAGUGGGGAAUAGCCCGGGGAAACCCGGAUUAAUACCCCGUAACAUGAUGAAGUGGCAUCACUUUAUUAUUAUAGCUCCGGCGCUUGAAGAUGGGUGUGCGACUGAUUAGGCAGUUGGCGGGGUAACGGCCCACCAAACCUACGAUCAGUAACUGGUGUGAGAGCACGACCAGUCACACGGGCACUGAGACACGGGCCCGACUCCUACGGGAGGCAGCAGUAAGGAAUAUUGGUCAAUGGACGCAAGUCUGAACCAGCCAUGCCGCGUGGAGGAUGAAGGCCCUCUGGGUUGUAAACUUCUUUUAUCUGGGACGAAAAAGGGACUUUCUAGUUCAACUGACGGUACCAGAGGAAUAAGCACCGGCUAACUCCGUGCCAGCAGCCGCGGUAAUACGGAGGGUGCAAGCGUUAUCCGGAUUCACUGGGUUUAAAGGGUGCGUAGGUGGGUUGGUAAGUCAGUGGUGAAAUCUCCAGGCUUAACUUGGAAACUGCCAUUGAUACUAUUAAUCUUGAAUACCGUGGAGGUCAGCGGAAUAUGUCAUGUAGCGGUGAAAUGCUUAGAUAUGACAUAGAACACCAAUUGCGAAGGCAGCUGGCUACACGAAUAU
Molecule: ribosomal RNA, 649 nt
Filed under: uncultured bacterium
Lineage: Bacteria
Description: bacterial SSU rRNA
Rfam family: Bacterial small subunit ribosomal RNA
Source: RNAcentral